RNAcentral lists this ribosomal RNA (497 nucleotides) under uncultured bacterium. RNAcentral's name for it is "partial 16S ribosomal RNA". It matches the Rfam family "Bacterial small subunit ribosomal RNA", at positions 28 to 507 of the family's 1533-position model. The record is from RNAcentral.
GUUGAACGCUGGCGGCGUGCCUAACACAUGCAAGUCGAGCGAACAGACGAGGCCCUUGCUCCGCUGACGUUUGCGGCGGGCGUGAGUGUAACAUGUGGAUAACCUAUCUAUAGGGCUGGAAUAACUUCGGGGACCCGGUGCUAAUACAGGCUAUUAUAUUAAAACGCCUGGUUCCAUAGUGGACGACGGUUUUGCUGUUAUCCUUUGACUGAUCCGCGCCGCAGUAGCUAGUUGGUAGGGUAACGCCGUACCAAGGCAACGAUGCGUAGCCGACCUGAGAGGGUGAUCGGCCACACUGGAACUGAGACACGGUCCAGACUCCUACGGGAGGCAGCAGUAGGGAAUCUUGCGCAAUGGGCGAAAGCCUGACGGAGCAACGCCGCGUGAGUGAAGAAGGCCUUCGGAUCGUAAAGCUCUGUUAUUAGGAAAGAACAACUGUGUAAGAAACUGGGCACGUCUUGACGGUACCUAAACAGAAAGCCCCGGCUAACUACGUG